GAUGAACGCUGGCGGCGUGCCUAAUACAUGCAAGUCGAGCGAACAGAUGAGGAGCUUGCUCCUCUGACGUUAGCGGCGGACGGGUGAGUAACACGUGGAUAACCUACCUAUAAGACUGGGAUAACUUCGGGAAACCGGAGCUAAUACCGGAUAAUAUAUUGAACCGCAUGGUUCAAUAGUGAAAUACGGUUUUGCUGUCACUUAUAGAUGGAUCCGCGCCGCAUUAGCUAGUUGGUAAGGUAACGGCUUACCAAGGCAACGAUGCGUAGCCGACCUGAGAGGGAGAUCGCCCACACUGGAACUGAGACACGGUCAAGAAUCCAAAGGGAGGCAGCAGUAGGGAAUCUUACGCAAUGGGAGAAAGCCUGACGGAGAAACGCCGCGUGAGUGAUGAAGGUCUUGGGAUCGUAAAAAUCUGUUAUUAGGGAAGAACAAAUGUGUAAGUAACUAUGCACGUCUUGACGGUACCUAAUCAGAAAGCCACGGCUAACUACGUG
RNAcentral lists this ribosomal RNA (497 nucleotides) under uncultured bacterium. RNAcentral describes it as "partial 16S ribosomal RNA". It matches the Rfam family "Bacterial small subunit ribosomal RNA", at positions 28 to 507 of the family's 1533-position model. The record is from RNAcentral.